GUCGCGUUGUUCGUGAAAACCUGAGGCUUAACCUCGGGCGUGCGGGCGAUACGGGCAGACUGGAGUACUGCAGGGGAGACUGGAAUUCCUGGUGUAGCGGUGGAAUGCGCAGAUAUCAGGAGGAACACCGGUGGCGAAGGCGGGUCUCUGGGCAGUAACUGACGCUGAGGAGCGAAAGCGUGGGGAGCGAACAG
This 194-nucleotide ribosomal RNA is filed under the name uncultured bacterium. RNAcentral's name for it is "partial 16S ribosomal RNA". It matches the Rfam family "Bacterial small subunit ribosomal RNA", at positions 582 to 775 of the family's 1533-position model. The record is from RNAcentral.